GACGAACGCUGGCGGCGUGCUUAACACAUGCAAGUCGAACGGAAAGGCCCCUUCGGGGGUACUCGAGUGGCGAACGGGUGAGUAACACGUGAGUAACCUGCCCUGACUUCGGGGUAACUUCAGGAAACUGGGGCUAAUACCGGAUAGGAAUCCUUGCUGCAUGGUGGGGGUUGGAAAGCUUCGGCGGUUUUGGAUGGACUCGCGGCUUAUCAGCUUGUUGGUGGGGUAGUGGCUUACCAAGGCUUUGACGGGUAGCCGGCCUGAGAGGGCGACCGGCCACAUUGGGACUGAGAUACGGCCCAGACUCCUACGGGAGGCAGCAGUGGGGAAUAUUGCACAAUGGGCGGAAGCCUGAUGCAGCAACGCCGCGUGCGGGAUGACGGCCUUCGGGUUGUAAACCGCUUUCAGCAGGGGCGAAGCUUGUGGUGACGGUACCUGCAGAAGAAGCACCGGCUAACUACGUG
This 464-nucleotide ribosomal RNA is filed under the name uncultured bacterium. RNAcentral's name for it is "partial 16S ribosomal RNA". It matches the Rfam family "Bacterial small subunit ribosomal RNA", at positions 28 to 507 of the family's 1533-position model. The record is from RNAcentral.